GAUGAACGCUGGCGGCGUGCCUAAUACAUGCAAGUCGAGCGAACGGACGAGAAGCUUGCUUCUCUGAUGUUAGCGGCGGACGGGUGAGUAACACGUGGAUAACCUACCUAUAAGACUGGGAUAACUUCGGGAAACCGGAGCUAAUACCGGAUAAUAUUUUGAACCGCAUGGUUCAAAAGUGAAAGACGGUCCUGCUGUCACUUAUAGAUGGAUCCGCGCUGCAUUAGCUAGUUGGUAAGGUAACGGCUUACCAAGGCAACGAUGCAUAGCCGACCUGAGAGGGGGAUCGGCCACACUGGAACUGAGACACGGUCCAGACUCCUACGGGAGGCAGCAGUAGGGAAUCUUCCGCAAUGGGCGAAAGCCUGACGGAGCAACGCCGCGUGAGUGAUGAAGGUCUUCGGAUCGUAAAACUCUGUUAUUAGGGAAGAACAUAUGUGUAAGUAACUGUGCACAUCUUGACGGUGCCUAAUCAGAAAGCCACGGCUAACUACGUG
This 497-nucleotide ribosomal RNA is filed under the name uncultured bacterium. RNAcentral describes it as "partial 16S ribosomal RNA". It matches the Rfam family "Bacterial small subunit ribosomal RNA", at positions 28 to 507 of the family's 1533-position model. The record is from RNAcentral.